UGAGGAACAUGACCUUCGGCGGGGGAUAGCCGGCCCAACGGCCGGGUAAUACCGCGUACGACCACAUGGGGACAUCCCUGAGUGGUGAAAGCAGCAAUGCGCCGAUGGAGUGCCUCGCGGCCUAUCAGCUAGUUGGUGGGGUAACGGCUCACCAAGGCAACGACGGGUAGCUGGUCUGAGAGGAUGGCCAGCCACAUUGGGACUGAGGCACGGCCCAGCUCCUAGGGAGG
This 230-nucleotide ribosomal RNA is filed under the name uncultured bacterium. RNAcentral's name for it is "partial 16S ribosomal RNA". It matches the Rfam family "Bacterial small subunit ribosomal RNA", at positions 118 to 348 of the family's 1533-position model. The record is from RNAcentral.